Molecule: ribosomal RNA, 257 nt
Filed under: uncultured bacterium
Lineage: Bacteria
Description: partial 16S ribosomal RNA
Rfam family: Bacterial small subunit ribosomal RNA
Source: RNAcentral
CGUAGGGUGCGAGCGUUAAUCGGGAAUUACUGGGGCGUAAAGGGUGCGCAGGCGGUUGAGUAAGACAGAUGUGAAAAUCCCCGAGCUUAACUCGGGAAUGGCAUAUGUGACUGCUCGACUAGAGUGUGUCAGAGGGAGGUGGAAUUCCACGUGUAGCAGUGAAAUGCGUAGAUAUGUGGAAGAACACCGAUGGCGAAGGCAGCCUCCUGGGGACAUAACUGACGCUCAGGCACGAAAGCGUGGGAGCAAACAGGAUU